UACGUAGGUGGCAAGCGUUAUCCGGAAUUAUUGGGCGUAAAGCGCGCGCAGGCGGUUUCUUGAGUCUGAUGUGAAAGCCCACGGCUCAACCGUGGAGGGUCAUUGGAAACUGGGGAACUUGAGUGCAGAAGAGAAAAGCGGAAUUCCACGUGUAGCGGUGAAAUGCGUAGAGAUGUGGAGGAACACCAGUGGCGAAGGCGGCUUGGUGGUCUGUAACUGACGCUGAGGCGCGAAAGCGUGGGGAGCAAACAGG
This 253-nucleotide ribosomal RNA is filed under the name uncultured bacterium. Its description in RNAcentral is "partial 16S ribosomal RNA". It matches the Rfam family "Bacterial small subunit ribosomal RNA", at positions 524 to 776 of the family's 1533-position model. The record is from RNAcentral.